GUGGGCCUGGGGCCUGGUGGGAGGCGAGCGUGUUUCUGAGGAACAGGCUUGUGCGCCGAGAGUUGCCCGUCAGGUCGCGGGACAGCUGUGCGGCGCGCGGAGCGAGGGGGGGGAUCUCUUCGUGCGCGUCACACGUUCAUGGAACGGGCGGUGUGUGCCGGGCACGGGGCCAGCCUGGGGAUGCGGUGCCCGGGAGUCGGGCGCUGAAGCGGCCCCUGUGGUCUUGGCUCCUUGGAACCAAGUCUUGCUGGAAGGACAGACGUGAAGAAGAUAGUGACGUUGGUCUCGAUGGGUUCUGAGGAGUGCAGCUCUCCGUCUUCCCCCAGUACAUAGUUGUAUAUUCUUAGUUGUGGGUCCUUCUACUUGUGGCAUGUGGGACGCCGCCUCAUCGUGGUUUUGAUGAGCAGUGCCAUGUCCGCGCCCAGGAUUCGAACCAACGAAACACUGGGCCACCUGCAGCGGAGCGCGUGAAAUUAACCACUCGGUUAAUUUCGGAAGAAAUUCGGUUAAUUUGGAAGAAAUCCAGUUUCUUCCCCAGAAUCUCGGCCUCCUCCAAAAUAGACACAGAUGUCGGACACUGUCAUCCUGGAACUCAGAGCUCAGCGGGGAAGAUGGAGUAUGAAUAAAGUGUUACAACGCAACCCAGCAUCUGGGAGAGGAGGAUGAGUUAACCAGACAAAGAGUGACUGCAGAAGCAAUCCAGGGAGAAAACCAGCCCGUGUGAAGGUCUUGAGGUGUCCAGCUUCUGCAGGAGGAAGUACAGAAGCUCCGAGAUUAGACCACACAGGGUCAAAACCUGCUCCUGCCGCUGACUGGCUGUCUGUCCUUCAUCAGGUCAUUUAACCUCU
This 848-nucleotide long non-coding RNA is filed under the name Equus asinus (donkey). Its description in RNAcentral is "lncRNA (ENSEASG00005026728.1)". The record is from RNAcentral. Lineage: Eukaryota; Metazoa; Chordata; Mammalia; Perissodactyla; Equidae.